Molecule: ribosomal RNA, 253 nt
Filed under: uncultured bacterium
Lineage: Bacteria
Description: partial 16S ribosomal RNA
Rfam family: Bacterial small subunit ribosomal RNA
Source: RNAcentral
UACGUAGGGGGCAAGCGUUAUCCGGAUUUACUGGGUGUAAAGGGAGCGUAGACGGCAAUACAAGUCGGAAGUGAAAUACCCGGGCUCAACAUGGGAACUGCUUUGGAAACUGUAUGGCUGGAGUGCUGGAGAGGUAAGCGGAAUUCCUAGUGUAGCGGUGAAAUGCGUAGAUAUUAGGAGGAACACCAGUGGCGAAGGCGGCUUACUGGACAGUAACUGACGUUGAGGCUCGAAAGCGUGGGGAGCAAACAGG